RNAcentral lists this ribosomal RNA (270 nucleotides) under uncultured bacterium. RNAcentral's name for it is "partial 16S ribosomal RNA". It matches the Rfam family "Bacterial small subunit ribosomal RNA", at positions 28 to 294 of the family's 1533-position model. The record is from RNAcentral.
GAUAAACGCUGGCGGCGUGCCUAACACAUGCAAGUCGAACGCCCUGUUUGUCGCAAGAGAAGCAGGGAGUGGCGGACGGGUGAGUAACACAUGGGUGACCUACCCCGCAGUGAGGGAUACCGGCGAGAAAUCGCCGACAAGCCCGCAUGGGGUCUCUUUGGUCAAGCGAAGAGAGCAAAGUUUCGCAAGAGACGCUGCGGGAUGGGCCUGUGGCCGAUUAGCUGGUUGGGGGGUAAGAGCCUCCCAAGGCGACGAUCGGUAGCUGGUCUG